GACAGAAAUACAUGUAGUUAUUAAGCAUAUAAACAUUCCAAGGAAUUAGAUUUUAUGAAUGUUGCACACUCAAAUUUUCUAUAUACACACUGUGUGGCAUUAAUUGACGAUUCAGUAUCUCAUUUUUCAGCGUAUUAUUAAAAUAUAAGCGAUGCAUUACUGUCAUCAUUAUAUUGAAGUAGAGACAUAAGCAUCCCGUUUAACCAGCGCCUUGCCACAAUGGAGUCUAGACCGCACACUACAAUAUGGAAUUGACGAUAAAAUCCUUCAUCCAUAUCUUGAAUGGAACAGUGAUGGGCCACUGCUUCACAACCUGGCACUCUAGAAGUAAUAGAUCAUGAGAUUAUAGAAAUAUUUUACAUAUAUUUUAUAUGGAAUAAAAUGAAAGAAAGUACAA
Molecule: long non-coding RNA, 397 nt
Organism: Danaus plexippus (monarch butterfly)
Lineage: Eukaryota; Metazoa; Arthropoda; Insecta; Lepidoptera; Nymphalidae
Exons: 2
Source: RefSeq, a predicted model, not a curated record